CACGCAUGACACACUGCAUAUCAAUAAGCGGAGGAAAAGAAACUAACAAGGAUUCCCUUAGUAACGGCGAGUGAAGCGGGAAGAGCUCAAAUUUGAAAUCUUCAAGGUUCUACCUUGACGAAUUGUAGUUUAUAGAAGUGUUUUCUGUUAGUAGAGUGGCAAAGUUCUUUGGAAUAGGACAUCACAGAGGGUGAGAAUCCCGUAUUUGGUCAUUCCUCCUAGCUUUGUGAUACACUUUCAACGAGUCGGAUUGUUUGGGAAUGCAGUCCAAAAUGGGUGGUAAAUUUCAUCUAAAGCUAAAUAUUGGCGAGAGACCGAUAGCGAACAAGUACCGUGAGGGAAAGAUGAAAAGAACUUUGAAAAGAGAGUUAAACAGUACGUGAAAUUGUCAAAAGGGAAGCGUUUGACACCAGUGUUGUUUUUCCGAAAAUCAAUUACGAAUGGGUUUAUUUUAAGUUAUGACCUUCAUACGCUUGCUUCUCUCUUUAUGUACUUUCUUAAUGCACUUUUCGGUUAACAAGUCAACAUCAAUUUCUUUUGUUGUAAAAGGGUAAUGAGGAGGGUGGCUUUACUUUCGGAGUAAAGUGUUUAUAGCCUUGUACCUCUGCAAUCGGAGAGAUUGAGGUCUGCAGCGUAGAUCCUUCGGGGUUAGAUACAGUUUGUGCUAAGUUAUAGCUUUUCAUAGACAACUUGUUGACUAUGUUAAGUCUUGUAGCUUACUCGCUUAUGCUAUUUUACCUACGCUUAGGAUGUUGAGUCGUAGAGCACGCAG
This 772-nucleotide ribosomal RNA is filed under the name uncultured Neocallimastigales. RNAcentral describes it as "partial large subunit ribosomal RNA". It matches the Rfam family "Eukaryotic large subunit ribosomal RNA", at positions 24 to 634 of the family's 3401-position model. Lineage: Eukaryota; Fungi; Neocallimastigomycota; Neocallimastigomycetes; Neocallimastigales. The record is from RNAcentral.